AACAGGCAGUAUCCCUCUUCUAUAUAAACAUUACUUAAUAUUAAGGGAAAUCAAACAAAUCUAAGCCAAUACUCCCAACAAGCAAGUUAGAUCUUGUUUCUGCUGUUGUUGUUGAAAUGUGGCUUUGGCAUGGUUUCAUAAAAAUUUUUGGCCAAGAGGCUUAUGUUAGUAUACAUCCAUCUGUUUAGUCAUCAAGGUUUGUAGUUCACUCAAAAAUAAACCACUAGACAUCUUUUGCUGGAUGUCAAAUAGUCACAGUCUAAGUAGCUGGAAAGUCAAAGCAGUUUGAGCAUUGCCAAAUGAAAGAAUGGUUGGGCUGCAAAGAUGAUUGACUCAAGCAAGGUUCAUCCCAGUUGUAACUUGAGCAUCCCCUAAACUGGGGAUGCAAAAGCGUAUGGCCUGGGAAGACAGGAAAGCCAGUCCUCCUACAAAGGGGAAGUGGAAGAUACUGGCCUCUCAUAGUCAUAGACCAAAGUCUGCUAUAGAACAAAAUACUGGAGGGCAGAGAUAGCAAACAAAGUCUCCAAACAGUGCUGUCAGUAUUAGCAUGCGAUGCCACAGGCAUGGAAACCUUGCCUUACUUCCUGGUCCUGAAAGGGAACUGUGCAGAUGUGGAUCAACGUUUUGUUGAAAAUAAAGUAUUAAUACUUUAAAGUCAAAAUAUAGUGUUUACAUUCUUUAGGUCCUGGGAGGAGCUGGGGGGAGGGACUCUUGAUAAUACAAGAUAGUAGAAGCAGUCGUUUCUUUAAUUAUUUUUAACAGUUUAAUUAUUGUAUGUCGUGAGACACUAAAAUCAAGAAUGGGACUCUCAUUUCCUCUAUAAUUUGUUAAGAUUACCAGCAGCACAAUCACUUGUAGAAACUGUAUUAAAAAAAAAAAUCUCCCAGUCCCUUUGUUUCUGGCUUUGGAAUAGUUUUAUUUAUAUUGUAUAUCAUAAUAGUUUCAACUAUAGACAAUUACAAUGUUAAUUUAUUGUUCCUUGGGUUCCCCUUUGUAUAAGAUAGAGCCAAGACUAAAGAAACCAAAUAUAUGUGUUUACUAUAGCAUGUCUUCAAGUUAGUGAAACAUAGUUCAGGGGUAUAGAAGGGUCUUAAUGAUUAAAACCAUCCAUUUGAUCACAUGUCCUGAAAUUCCCAUAAUCUUUCUGUAUCUUAUUUAAUAUCCAUUGUAAAUCAUGUGACUUAAUAGCUUUUUCUUGUUUUUAAGACAUUUUAACAAUAAAAAGAGUCUUGCCUGGUUUUCCUUUCCAAACAUUGUAAGUUGUAUACCAAAGAUAUUAGUUUAUUACUUCAGUGUGUUUUUUAAAAAAAGAUUAUUUUAUUACAUUUAUGAAUCGCCUGUAAUAUCCACCCACGGGAGGGACUCACACUAGCUGUGUUGGGAUUGACUCUCAGUGUUAUCCUCGUUACUCUAAGGAGGAGGAAAGUCAUUAAUGAAAGCUCAGAUCCAAAGCAUUAAACCAGACAGAGAUAUGGCUGUUCCUCCCACUGAAAAACCCAAGUUGGUUAAAGGCACACGGAGAAGGUGCAGAUGCCAGUGGCUAAUGGGAGAGCUCUAUCUUGGGUGUCAAUGUGACUAGAAGGAUGGCUGUUUGGAGGGUUUUGACAUUGAAGACAAAAAAUCCAUGUUUCCCUAUUUUACAUAUCUAGUGCUCCCCUACCCAACAUUAAACCUAAAAGUUGUCAAAUACUGGUUUGUCGUUCACCGAGUAGCUUUCACCCUGAGAAUGGUUAGAGAAACAGGCAACAGUCACAUCCAUACCAAGGACAGAAGCAGCUUGAGCAGGAGUGUAGGUGGUGCCCUGCAGUUAUCGGAUGUCAGUUGGUAGCCCAGUUUGUAACUUAGCCAACUGCUUUAUUGAUUUCUAGGGUUCCUAAUAAAGGCAGACUCAAGAGGGAAAGGUCUUCAACUGAGCUGGGUUUCCCGUAGUUGGUCUCUGUGAAGAGACAGUCUGUGAUGUCUUGAGUCUUUGGAUGGUGGCUCUUCCGCAGCUGCCUUGGACUUGAAUCCAUGCAGUCUUCAGAGUGUAGAGUUGGUACCUUGUUGACGUCUUCUUACUGUAUCAGUGAAAUAUACACAUUGUCAUGUCGGUUCUUGCCAUGAAUUUCUCAAUGAAAGUGGAUUUUUUUCCAGUAUUUCAAUAAAUAUUGAUAUGUCCACCUGGUAA
Molecule: long non-coding RNA, 2167 nt
Filed under: Rattus norvegicus (Norway rat)
Lineage: Eukaryota; Metazoa; Chordata; Mammalia; Rodentia; Muridae
Description: long non-coding RNA NONRATT008761
Source: RNAcentral